Molecule: long non-coding RNA, 915 nt
Filed under: Elaeis guineensis (African oil palm)
Lineage: Eukaryota; Viridiplantae; Streptophyta; Magnoliopsida; Arecales; Arecaceae
Description: long non-coding RNA (EGUI_LNC045691)
Source: RNAcentral
AAGGGCUUAAGCCCUGUAGUUCUGAGUCCAUGUUGAUUCAGUAGAGAGAUUUUGAUCCAUUUAGUUUGAUUCAUGAUCGAAUAAAAUUGUUUUGACCAAAUCAAUUUGGACUGUUAGAUGUAACUACUGUUCAUCAUGUCUUCCUUGAUUAUUCGUAUUCUUUCUGAUUAUUAGACUUAAUUAUGUAUAAAAAUAUAGUUAUCUUGACCAAAAGAUAUCUAGCAGUGAGAUACUAUGAUGUGAUUUAUAAAAUAAAGAUUUUGAAAAGAAAUUUUUGAAAUUAUGUGGAUAUGUUGGAGUGCAUGUGAGGUAAAUAAUAUGACUCUUUUUUUAGAUUUAUAAGUAAAUUAUAUAAUAUUUGUAUUAUUGAGUUUUGAGUUAUAUUGUUUAUGAUUUAUGAAUAUGAAGUAUGAAAUUUAUUUGUUAGAUUCUACUUCAUUGUAGAAUAUUGUUUCAUAUAUUAUCAAAUGUAUUGAUUCUACUAUGGAGUUGUGAUCAAUUGAUUUUGAUUUUAGAUUAUUCUGUGUAUUACUCAAUUGAAAUAUAAAAAUGAUUUUAUCGAAAGAGAGUUCUGUGUCGAGAUGGAUUUUGACUCAUAACCUAAUUAUAUAUUGAAACCCUGCCAACGAGGGUUAUAUAUUGGCACAUCGAUAUCUUACUAGUGAAAAUUAUAUACUAGUACAUCGAUAUCCUGUCAGUGAGGAUUGUAUACUGGUACAUCAAUAUCUUAUCAAUAAGAAUUAUGUAUUGGUAUAUCGAUACCAUAUUAGUGACGAUUAUGUGCUGGUACAUCGAUCCCUACUAAUAGGAUUAUGUGCUGGUAUAUCAACAUCCUGCUAGUGGGGGUUAUGCGCUGGUAUAUCAAUAUCCUGCUAAUGGAGAUUAUGCACUGGUAUACCGAUAUCCUGUCAGUAG